This is a long non-coding RNA of Hemicordylus capensis (graceful crag lizard), 2148 nucleotides long. RefSeq lists it as uncharacterized. The transcript has 2 exons. The record is from RefSeq and is a predicted model, not a curated record. Lineage: Eukaryota; Metazoa; Chordata; Lepidosauria; Squamata; Cordylidae.
CGGCGGGUGGGCGGGGCUUCCACGGAGGCCUCCGUGUAGGCCGCAGUGAAGCCUGAACUCGAGUAGGGCCCAAGCCAGCCAGGAAGGGGGAGGCAGCCAGAGUGUUCUCUGCAGCAGAAGACCCCUUGGUGCCCUGCUUAACCCAGACCAGCAUUUUCCAGGGUUUGCAGCGGACGCCAGGUCAGCAGCUGCCACCCCUCCCAGGACCAGCGCCGCCACCCCCACGGAAGCCCCUGCCUCCAGUGGCAGCUACCGUCCGGCCGCUUCCACCCAUUCCCGGGCCAGCCGCAUUCCCCCCGCUGAAGCCCCUGCCUCCAGCUCCAGCCCUGCCCGGCAGGGAGUUUUUUCUGAGGUGUGAAUUCUCAUUCUAUCAUAGCAAAUGAGAUUUUUUUCAAUUAAACAACUCUCAUGACCCCACUUUCACUUUUUCACACUUUCCUUUACUAUGAAUAAUAUGAGGAAGUAAUCAAUUUAGCACACUUCACCUUAUGAAGACAAACCUCAUACAAAUAAAUUCACCAUAAUUCACCCCUCUGCCCAAUCACUCUUAAAUUGGGGAUGGGUGGUAGCCUCCACCCAUUAGGCACUAUCUACCAGCCCACCCCACUCCUUUGGGGCAGAUCCACUUUCUGCCCCCAAUCUGCCCCAAAGACACCCAAACUUCAAAAAUUCUCAAAAAAUCAGCCCUCUGCCCAAUCCCCCAGAAAUUGGGGUGGUAGCCUCCACCCAUUAGGCACUACCACCCCACCCCACUCUUUUGGAGCAGAUCCACUUUCUGCCCCCAAACUGCCCCAAAAUCACUAAAAUUCAAAAAUUCUCAAAAAAUCACCCCUUUGUUCAAACCCCCUGAAAUUGGGGUGGUAGCCUCCACCCAUUAGGCACUACUACCCCACCCCACUAUUCUGCCCCAGGCCCCACUUUCUGCCCCAAUAUGACCCAAUCUGCCCCAAAGACAUGAAAAUUUCAGAAAUUUACCAAAAAUCAGCCCUCUGCCCAAUCCCCCUGAAAUUGGGGUGGUAGCCUGCACCCAUUAGGCACUACCACCCCACCCCACUCCUUUUGCCCAGAUCCCAUGCUAUGCCCCCAAACUGCCCCAAAGUCACUAAAACUUUAAAAAUUCACCCAAAAUCAACCAUGAACCGAAUCACCCGGAUUUUUCAGGUCCGAAAUUCGGGUGAUUUGGCUUGUGCCCGAAAAAAAUUCGGGGGGGCAUCGGGGGUGAUUCGGUUCAGUCCCGAAUCACCCGAAAUUGUUCAUUUUGGGCACAGAUCGUUUCGGGCACACAAAUUUUUUGCACAUCCCUAGCCCUCAUGAUGUCUUGCCUGUAUGCCUGCCUCUAGCAACGGGCUUCCUGGGCAGCAUUUCAAUACCUUGAGCCUGGUCAAGUGCACAGGGCUUUUUAGAAAGAAACCUGGUGAACUUAAGACAGAAAGGAUCAGUUUGAGAUGGAUCAGUACCCUCCAGGCCGCGCUGUGUGGGUGUGAAACAAUAUGGUGGGAGAAGGAAUAGGACUGAUGUGAAGCCUACUUAAUUUCUCUAGACAUGUUCAUGCCCUGGUUUUAAAUCCUUCCAUCCCUCCUUUUAUUAUUAUAUACAUUUAUUAUUAUACUGUACAUACCAUUGCCUUAAAUUGUGCCAACCUAGAUGUGUGGGGCUUAUUCGUAGUGGUUGGGAUUUCGAUGUAUAUGCUCAUGCUACGAUGCAACUGGAUGUGACCUGACUGCUGUGAAAUCGCCUUCCACUUCCAUUGGUUCAGCAUAUUUAAAGCAGCUGACCUGCUUCUAUGUCUUCAUCCUAGUUGACCAUCCACACGUAUUACAGAACCUGCAUGAGUCUUCUCAAAAAGAAACCUGGUUUACUAGCACAGGAAGGACCAGUUUGAGCAGGUUCAUCAGUGACCUUGAAGGUGGUCUUUGUGGGCAUGAAGCCAAAUGUGGAGCAACUGAAUUGGUUCAUUUUCUUGUAUCAUUGUGAAGCCUACAUAAUUUCUCAAGAUAUCCUUGUGCCCUGAUUUUAUAUACUUGUUUCUCUCACUAUAUUACUUUAUCGAUUUGAUGAUUAAUUAUCUAUUUUCAUCAUUUUUAUUAUUACUACUAUUCUUAAUAAUGUAGUGUUGUUCUUGAAUAAAAGCAGUUACUAAAAGGAAAA